CGAUAGUGGGGGAUAACCUGGGGAAACCCAGGCUAAUACCGCAUACGUCCUACGGGAGAAAGGGGGCUCCGGCUCCCGCUAUGGGAUGAGCCAUGUCGGAUUAGCUAGUUGGUGAGGUAAUGGCUCACCAAGGCAACGAUCCGUAGCUGGUCUGAGAGGAUGAUCAGCCACAUCGGGACUGAGACACGGCCCGAACUCCUACGGGAGGCAGCAGUGGGGAAUAUUGGACAAUGGGGGCAAGCCUGAUCCAGCCAUGCCGCGUGUGUGAAGAAGGCCCUCGGGUUGUAAAGCACUUUCAGCGAGGAAGAACGCCUAGCGGUUAAUACCCGCUAGGAAAGACAUCACUCGCAGAAGAAGCACCGGCUAACUCCGUGCCAGCAGCCGCGGUAAUACGGAGGGUGCAAGCGUUAAUCGGAAUUACUGGGCGUAAAGCGCGCGUAGGUGGCUUGAUAAGCCGGUUGUGAAAGCCCCGGGCUCAACCUGGGAACGGCAUCCGGAACUGUCAAGCUAGAGUGCAGGAGAGGAAGGUAGAAUUCCCGGUGUAGCGGUGAAAUGCGUAGAGAUCGGGAGGAAUACCAGUGGCGAAGGCGGCCUUCUGGACUGACACUGACACUGAGGUGCGAAAGCGUGGGUAGCAAACAGGAUUAGAUACCCUGGUAGUCCACGCCGUAAACGAUGUCGACCAGCCGUUGGGUGCCUAGCGCACUUUGUGGCGAAGUUAACGCGAUAAGUCGACCGCCUGGGGAGUACGGCCGCAAGGUUAAAACUCAAAUGAAUUGACGGGGGCCCGCACAAGCGGUGGAGCAUGUGGUUUAAUUCGAUGCAACGCGAAGAACCUUACCUACUCUUGACAUCCUGCGAAUUUGGUAGAGAUACCUUAGUGCCUUCGGGAACGCAGAGACAGGUGCUGCA
RNAcentral lists this ribosomal RNA (912 nucleotides) under Halomonas sp. MMRF689. RNAcentral describes it as "bacterial SSU rRNA". It matches the Rfam family "Bacterial small subunit ribosomal RNA", at positions 131 to 1045 of the family's 1533-position model. The record is from RNAcentral. Lineage: Bacteria; Pseudomonadati; Pseudomonadota; Gammaproteobacteria; Oceanospirillales; Halomonadaceae.